GACGAACGCUGGCGGCGUGCUUAACACAUGCAAGUCGAACGGAAAGGCCCUGCUUUUGUGGGGUGCUCGAGUGGCGAACGGGUGAGUAACACGUGAGUAACCUGCCCUUGCCUUUGGGAUAACUUCAGGAAACUGGGGCUAAUACCGGAUAGGAGCUCCUGCUGCAUGGUGGGGGUUGGAAAGUUUCGGCGGUUGGGGAUGGACUCGCGGCUUAUCAGCUUGUUGGUGGGGUAGUGGCUUACCAAGGCUUUGACAGGUAGCCGGCCUGAGAGGGUGACCGGCCACAUUGGGACUGAGAGACGGCCCAGACUCCUACGGGAGGCAGCAGUGGGGAAUAUUGCACAAUGGGCGGAAGCCUGAUGCAGCAACGCCGCGUGCGGGAUGACGGCCUUCGGGUUGUAAACCGCUUUCGCCUGUGACGAAGCGUGAGUGACGGUAAUGGGUAAAGAAGCACCGGCUAACUACGUG
This 468-nucleotide ribosomal RNA is filed under the name uncultured bacterium. RNAcentral's name for it is "partial 16S ribosomal RNA". It matches the Rfam family "Bacterial small subunit ribosomal RNA", at positions 28 to 507 of the family's 1533-position model. The record is from RNAcentral.